GAUGAACGCUGGCGGCGUGCCUAAUACAUGCAAGUCGAGCGAACGGACGAGAAGCUUGCUUCUCUGAUGUUAGCGGCGGACGGGUGGGUAACACGUGGAUAACCUACCUAUAAGACUGGGAUAACUUCGGGAAACCGGAGCUAAUACCGGAUGAUAUUUUGAACCGCAUGGUUCAAAAGUGAAAGACGGUCUUGCUGUCACUUAUAGAUGGAUCCGCGCUGCAUUAGCUAGUUGGUAAGGUAACGGCUUACCAAGGCAACGAUGCAUAGCCGACCUGAGAGGGUGAUCGGCCACACUGGAACUGAGACGCGGUCCAGACUCCUACGGGAGGCAGCAGUAGGGAAUCUUCCGCAAUGGGCGAAAGCCUGACGGAGCAACGCCGCGUGAGUGAUGAAGGUCUUCGGAUCGUAAAACUCUGUUAUUAGGGAAGAACAUAUGUGUAAGUAACUGUGCACAUCUUGACGGUACCUAAUCAGAAAGCCACGGCUAACUACGUG
RNAcentral lists this ribosomal RNA (497 nucleotides) under uncultured bacterium. Its description in RNAcentral is "partial 16S ribosomal RNA". It matches the Rfam family "Bacterial small subunit ribosomal RNA", at positions 28 to 507 of the family's 1533-position model. The record is from RNAcentral.